CACGGGGGGAGCAAGCGUUGUUCGGAAUCACUGGGCGUAAAGGGCGUGUAGGCGGUUAGGUAAGUGGGAUGUGAAAUCCCUCGGCUUACCCGAGGACCGGCAUCCCAAACUGCCUGGCUUGAGUAUGGGAGAGGAUGAGGGAAUUCCUGGUGUAGCGGUGAAAUGCGUAGAUAUCAGGAGGAACACCGGUGGCGAAGGCGCUCAUCUGGCCCAAUACUGACGCUGAGGCGCGAAAGCUAGGGGAGCAAACGGG
This 253-nucleotide ribosomal RNA is filed under the name uncultured bacterium. RNAcentral's name for it is "partial 16S ribosomal RNA". It matches the Rfam family "Bacterial small subunit ribosomal RNA", at positions 524 to 776 of the family's 1533-position model. The record is from RNAcentral.